Molecule: RNA transcript, 4845 nt
Organism: Mizuhopecten yessoensis (Yesso scallop)
Lineage: Eukaryota; Metazoa; Mollusca; Bivalvia; Pectinida; Pectinidae
Gene name: aquaporin-4-like
Exons: 4
Source: RefSeq, a predicted model, not a curated record
UUUGUAGCGUAUAGUAGUAACUCGCUGACAUAUCAGCUAUCAUUUCGUGUACAGGUAGGCUGUCCUUACCCUGGUUAUACAGGUACACUACGAUAGGGUAACGUUUAUAUAAUGGUAGAGAGACACUUACAGUGUUAUCACAACCAAUAUAACCUACAUUUACAACUUUGACGGGACAUGCUACCGGCAGUAGGAGGCGGCUCUACUCUUAGGAACAAGGACAAUUUGAUGAUCGUAGCAAUCAGUGAUUGGAGCUAUAGACAGCACUAACACGACUGGUAUCGGUGGAGUAUUUACCCAGUUUAUUACGUGAAGAUUAGCCUAUGCCGGAGUCCACUUCUCACAAGAAGAAGUAUAGCCGUGACUCUGUUCCUGCGAACCACUGGGUCAGAAGGUACAGAAUGAUCACUAGCAUCGAUGAUUUGAGAUCUUUGAGGUUUUGGAAGGCGGUUGGUGCCGAGUUUCUCGGAACGUUGCUACUGGUGAUGGUAGGAUGUGGCUCGUGUGUAGCUUGGGAUGCUGACAACAAAGUGGUCCAGAUCGCAUUCUGUUUCGGACUUAGUGUAGCCACUAUUGUAUGGAGCAUCGGACAUGUAAGUGGGGGACAUAUAAACCCGGCUGUCACGUGUGCAUUCUUCAUCACGCGCCAAAUAAGUCUUGCGCGCGGCGUUCUCUACAUUGUGGUCCAAUGUCUUGGAGCAAUAAUUGGAGCGGGCUUGUUGAAGGGGAUGACACCUCCCAGCCGCCAGGACACUUUGGGGGCCACCGUGCCACACAAUGACGUAGAUGGUGGCAGAGCGUUUGGAAUUGAAUUUUUUAUCACCUUUAUCCUCAUUUUUACCAUUUUUGCGACAUGUGACAAAAAACGUAAGGAUCUUGGCGGUUCCUUCCCGUUGUCUAUCGGCCUCGCGGUUACCAUGUGUCACCUGUUUGCAAUCCAGUUUACCGGAGCCAGUAUGAACACAGCCCGGAGUUUCGGACCUGCUGUUGUGAUGGGGGUCUGGGAUAAACACUGGGUGUACUGGUUAGCCCCACCACUCGGAGCGUGCUGUGCUGGUCUCUUGUACGACAAUGUGUUUUCCCUGAACGCGUCACUAGAGAAGGCGCGUGGAUUUCUCCUGUCCAGUGAUUACGACCACGAAGACUUCCCCGCCAAACGAAGAAAGAUCAAAGUCAUUCACGAGGAAGCAGAAGAACUUAAUGUCGACUUGAACCAGAAAGCACCGGAAACGGCCUAAACAUUUCCACGCAUGCGUAAUGGAAUCACGAUUAAGAGUGUGACAAGAAUGAUAUCGAAAACAUAUUUAACUUAUUCAUAAGGCAAUUUUAAAGAAAGUUACUACCCGUUAAGACGUUUAGAUUUGGGCUUGAGAAGGGCAGACAACUCACAAGGGACUUAUCACUGAUAGCUUACGAUAGGUUUAAGAUCUCUCUCUCGGAGAUUAAGGGUUCGGCGUUUGACGUGCAUACAAGGUUCUGGUUAUGAUUGUGGUAAUACUUGAAUGCACGUCAUAAAGUUACCUGGAAUGAGUGUACACACACACACGACUAACGAUAACCAGAUACGUAGAUAAAUAAAGCUAGUCAAGACCUGAGGCGUAUUAGGCUCGCAAAGAGGUCACGACGCCCUACACUAUAAUGCUGCAAAGCCAAAGGUAGUGAUGGAGAUCGUUUGUGAACAUGUGAGUUGGCUUGAUAAGUUUGAUAGAGCCGCCGCUUCCGUAUUGUCAAGUUAUUCUACACUUUCAAAACAAUUUGCGGAUGAGUUGAAAAAAAACGAUCUAAUUAGAAAGUAGCAGACAUCAGCUGACAUCUACCAGUUACAUAUGAACACUUUGUGACAGAAAAGGUCACAAAGGCAUUUUUCGAUGAAUGGUCGUUUUUGUUGUAUCUCUUGAUGUGUGUUUGUGGUACGUAUCACUUUAUAUACGUAUCACACGUUUGUAACACGUACCACACGCUUGUUAUACUAAUGAGUACCGAACAUUUGUCAUUCUGGUAAUAACCACCUGUUUGUCAAAUUAGUAAGGUAACCACGUGUUUGUAAUAUUAGUUAGGUUACCACAUGUUUGUAAUACCAGUAAGGUUACCACGUGUUUGUAAAAUUAGUAAGGUUACCACGUGUUUGUAAUAUCAGUUAGGUUACCACGUGUUUGUAAUAUUGGUAAGGUUACCACGUGUUUGUAAUAUCAGUUAGGUUACCACGUGUUUGUAAUAUUGGUAAGGUUACCACGUGUUUGGAAUAUCAGUAAGGUUACCGCGUGUUUGUAAUAUUAUUAAGGUUACCACGUUUUUGUAAUAUUAGUAAGGUUACCACGUGUUUGUAAUAUUAGUAAGGUUCCCACGUGUUUGUAAUAUUAGUAAGGUUACCACGUGUUUGUAAUAUUAGUAAGUAUCAUUGUUUUAAUAUCAGUAAGGUAACGACGUGUCUGUAAUAUCAGUAAGGUUACCACAUGUUUGUAAUACCAGUUAGGUUACCACGUGUUUGUAAUAUUAGUAAGUAUCAUUGUUUUAAUAUCAGUAAGGUUACCACGUGUUUGUAAUAUCAGUAAGGUUACCGCGUGUUUGUAAUAUUGGUAAGUUUCAUUGUUUUAUUAUCAGUAAGGUUACGACGUGUCUGUAAUAUCAGAAAGGUUACCAUGUGUUUGUAAUAUUAGUAAGUAUCACGUGUUUGUAAUAUCAGUAAGGUUACCGCGUGUUUGUAAUAUUGGUAAGGUUGCCACGUGUUUGUAAUAUUGGUAAGGUUUCCACGUGUUGGUAAUAUUGGAAAGGUUACCACGUGUUUGUAAUAUCAGUAAGAUUCAUUGUUUUAAUAUCAGUAAGGUUACGACGUGUCUGUAAUAUCAGAAAGGUUACCACGUGUUUGUAAUAUUAGUAAGUAUCACGUGUUUGUAAUAUCAGUAAGGUUACCGCGUGUUUGUAAUAUUAGUAAGGUUACGACGUGUCUGUAAUAUCAGUAAGGUUACCACGUGUUUGUAAAAUUAGUAAGGUUACCACGUGUUUGUAAUAUCAGUAAGGUUACAACGUUUUUGUCAUAUAAGUAAGUAUCAUUGUUUUAAUAUCAGUAAGGUUACCACAUGUUUGUAAUAUCAGUAAGUAUCACGUGAUUGUAAUAUCAGUAAGCUUACCACAUGUUUGUCAUAUAAGUAAGUAUCAUUUUUUUAAUAUCAAUAAGGUAACGACGUGUCUGUAAUAUCAGUAAGGUUACCACGUGUUUGUAAUAUUAGUAAGUAUCAUUGUUUUAAUAUCAGUUAGGUUACCACGUGUAUGUAAUAUCAGUUAGGUUACCACGUGUAUGUUAUAUCAGUAAGGUUACCACGUGAUUGUAAUAUUCGUAAGUAUCACUGUUAUUCAUAUCAGUAAGCUUACGAAGUGAUUAUAAUAUCAGUAAUUUUACCACGUGUUUGUAAUAUUGGCAAGUUUUUAUUACCACGUGUUGGUAAUAUCAAUAAGCUUACCACGUGUUUGUAAUAAUAGUUAGGUUACCACGUGUUUGUAAUAUUAUUAAGUAUCAUUGUUUUAAUAUCAGUAAGUAUCACGUGUUUGUAAUAUCAGUAAGUUUCAUUGUUUUAAUAUCAGUAAGGUUACCACGUGUUUGUAAUAUCAGUAAGGUUACGACGUGUUUGUAAUAUCAAUAAGGUUACAACGUGAUUGUAAAAUUAGUAAGGUUACCACGUGUUUGUAAUAUCAGUAAGGUUACCACGUGAUUGUAAUAUUGAUAAGCUUACCACAUGUUUGUAAUACCAGUAAGGUUACGACGUGUUUGUAAUAUUAGUAAGUGUCAUUGUUUUAAUAUCAGUAAGGUUACCGCGUGUUUGUAAUAUUGGUAAGGUUACCACGUGUUUGUAAUAUCAGUAAGGCUACCACGUGUGUGUAAUAUUAGUAAAUUAAGGUAACCACAUGUUGGAAAUAUAUAUAAGCUUACCACGUGUUUGUAAUAUCAGUAAGCUUACCACGUGUUUGUAAUAUCAGUUAGGUUACCACGUGUUUGUAAUAUAAGUAAGGUUAUCACGUGUUUGUAAUAACAGUAAGCUUACCACGUGUUUGUAAUAUCAGUUUGGCUACCACGUGUUUGUAAUAUUAGUAAGGCUACCACGUGUUUGUAAUAUUAGUAAGGUUACCACGUGUUUGUAAUAUCAGUAAAUUAAGGUUACCACAUUUUUGUAAUAUAAGUAAGGUUACCACGUGUUUGUAAUAUCAGUGAUGUUACCACGUGUUUGUAAUAUCAGUUAGGUUAUAACGUGUUUGUAAUAUCAAUUAAGUUACCACGUGUUGGUAAUAUUAGUAAGGUUAUCACGUGUUUGUAAAAUAAGUAAGUAUCACGUGUUUGUAAUAUUAAUUAGGUUACCACGUGUUUGUAAUAUUAGUAAGGUUAUCACGUGUUUGUAAUAUUAGUAAGGUUACCACGUGUUUGUAAUAUUAGGAAGGUUAUCACGUGUUGUAAAAUAAGUAAGUAUCACGUGUUUGUAAUAUUAAUUAGGUUACCACGUGUUUGAAAUAUUUUGAGUUUGUUAUAGUGUCAAGUUGUUGUAAACAAAACAAAAAUAUGAAAAUCGUAAUAUGACAAACCCCAUUUAUCAAACACUGCUUUUAUAAUUUGCAUACAUGAAACACGACAUCAGUGACAAAUCUAAUGUGAUUGUAUUCUUAGCUGUUUACUCUGUUAAGUAAUCUAGAGUUAGUUCCCUUCAAUCAAACGAAUUUCGUCGUUGUCAAAGACCUUUUAACGAUGUCACUCAACUAGGAUCUACUCCCGGGUAUCUUUUGAUGACCUUCUUGUUGCCUUCUUCAUCCCUUUCUGAGAUCAGUAGGGGGCUUCAGACUAAUCUGGUGAUUCAGUCAGGU